Molecule: ribosomal RNA, 427 nt
Filed under: uncultured beta proteobacterium
Lineage: Bacteria; Pseudomonadati; Pseudomonadota; Betaproteobacteria
Description: bacterial SSU rRNA
Rfam family: Bacterial small subunit ribosomal RNA
Source: RNAcentral
UGGGGAAUUUUGGACAAUGGGCGAAAGCCUGAUCCAGCCAUGCCGCGUGAGUGAAGAAGGCCUUCGGGUUGUAAAGCUCUUUUAGUCGGAAAGAAAGAGGUGCAAUGAAUAAUUGUGAUUUAUGACGGUACCGACAGAAAAAGCACCGGCUAACUACGUGCCAGCAGCCGAGGUAAUACGUAGGGGGCGUGCGUUAAUCGGAAUUACUGGGCGUAAAGGGAGCGCAGGCGGUCUUGCAAGUCAGAUGUGAAAGCCCCGGGCUUAACCUGGGAAUUGCGUUUGAAACUACAAGGCUAGAGUGCAGCAGAGGGGAGUGGAAUUCCAUGUGUAGCAGUGAAAUGCGUAGAGAUGUGGAAGAACACCGAUGGCGAAGGCAGCUCCCUGGGUUGACACUGACGCUCAUGCACGAAAGCGUGGGGAGCAAACA